UCCGUAGGGUGAACCUGCGGAGGGAUCAUUACCGAGUUUACAACUCCCAAACCCCAAUGUGAACGUUACCAAUCUGUUGCCUCGGCGGGAUUCUCUUGCCCCGGGCGCGUCGCAGCCCCGGAUCCCAUGGCGCCCGCCGGAGGACCAACUCCAAACUCUUUUUUUCUCUCCGUCGCGGCUCCCGUCGCGGCUCUGUUUUAUUUUUGCUCUGAGCCUUUCUCGGCGACCCUAGCGGGCGUCUCGAAAAUGAAUCAAAACUUUCAACAACGGAUCUCUUGGUUCUGGCAUCGAUGAAGAACGCAGCGAAAUGCGAUAAGUAAUGUGAAUUGCAGAAUUCAGUGAAUCAUCGAAUCUUUGAACGCACAUUGCGCCCGCCAGUAUUCUGGCGGGCAUGCCUGUCCGAGCGUCAUUUCAACCCUCGAACCCCUCCGGGGGGUCGGCGUUGGGGAUCGGCCCCUCACCGGGCCGCCCCCGAAAUACAGUGGCGGUCUCGCCGCAGCCUCUCCUGCGCAGUAGUUUGCACACUCGCACCGGGAGCGCGGCGCGGCCACAGCCGUAAAACACCCCAAACUUCUGAAAUGUUGACCUCGGAUCAGGUAGGAAUCCCCGCUGAACUUAAGCAUAUCAAUAAGGCGGAGGAA
Molecule: ribosomal RNA, 641 nt
Filed under: Trichoderma sp. BAB-4696
Lineage: Eukaryota; Fungi; Ascomycota; Sordariomycetes; Hypocreales; Hypocreaceae
Description: eukaryotic LSU rRNA
Rfam family: 5.8S ribosomal RNA (bases 256-409)
Source: RNAcentral